UACGGAGGGUGCGAGCGUUAAUCGGAAUUACUGGGCGUAAAGGGUGCGUAGGCGGUUGUAUAAGUUAUCUGUGAAAUCCCCGGGCUCAACCUGGGCAGGUCAGAUAAGACUGUAUGACUGGAGUAUAGUAGAGGGUAGUGGAAUUUCCGGUGUAGCGGUGAAAUGCGUAGAGAUCGGAAGGAACACCAGUGGCGAAGGCGGCUACCUGGCCUAAUACUGACACUGAGGCACGAAAGCGUGGGGAGCAAACAGG
Molecule: ribosomal RNA, 253 nt
Filed under: uncultured bacterium
Lineage: Bacteria
Description: partial 16S ribosomal RNA
Rfam family: Bacterial small subunit ribosomal RNA
Source: RNAcentral